This 572-nucleotide small RNA is filed under the name Pongo abelii (Sumatran orangutan). RNAcentral describes it as "processed transcript". Lineage: Eukaryota; Metazoa; Chordata; Mammalia; Primates; Hominidae. The record is from RNAcentral.
AUUGCAGAUACUUUUUAGCUCCAGGCCCGGUGGCUAGGUUGGUUCUCUCCUUUCCAAUCGGAGACCUCUGCCGCAAACAUGCUCCGCCAGAUCCUCAGUCAGGCCAAGAAGCAUCCGAGCGUAAGUUCGUGACCUCUCUCCUAGUGUUUUCCCUUGUCCUCCUUGCGUCGGGGUGCGCCUUUUGGUAAAUAAGAGGGGUCCGUGAUCUUGGAAUCCUCACUUUGUCUGGACGUCGUUGCAUUUGGGGAAAUUUCGUAGUGCGGAAUUUAAUUGCAGUUAAGUUCUUUCGCAUCUCAUUUUCCCUCAGCACAUCAACGUGCUGUAGAGCUAAAAGUCUAUGCAAUCUUUCAUCUGUCUUAAAUCCAGUUCCCUAAAUACGCAGCAAGAGCAUUGGUAGCAUUACGUUUUCAGAGAUAAUGCUUAAAGCCAGUAUUUGUAAUAGAUACGUUUACUUAUUCAGACUCUAUUUUUCAUACAUCUUUAUGGAGGCACCCUUAAAUAAUUUGCAAAGAAUUUGUUUUUCAAGCCCCAGGGUAAAGGAAGCCAGAAAAUUUAAUGGGAAUGACAUGUAA